Molecule: ribosomal RNA, 251 nt
Filed under: uncultured bacterium
Lineage: Bacteria
Description: partial 16S ribosomal RNA
Rfam family: Bacterial small subunit ribosomal RNA
Source: RNAcentral
CGGGUGAGUAACGCGUGGUAACCGUGCCUCAUACAGGGGGAUAACAGUUAGAAAUGACUGCUAAUACCGCAUAAGCGCACAAAACCGCAUGGUUUGGUGUGAAAAACUGAGGUGGUAUGAGAUGGACCCGCGUCUGAUUAGCUAGUUGGAGAGGUAACGGCUCACCAAGGCAACGAUCAGUAGCCGACCUGAGAGGGUGACCGGCCACAUUGGGACUGAGACACGGCCCAAACUCCUACGGAAGGCAGCAG